Molecule: non-coding RNA, 322 nt
Organism: Drosophila takahashii
Lineage: Eukaryota; Metazoa; Arthropoda; Insecta; Diptera; Drosophilidae
Source: RefSeq, a predicted model, not a curated record
CACAAUAAUAGUGUGCAUUACAUUUCGUGAAAGUCAAAGUGAAUGUGUACAAGUGUCCUGGCUUGGAUCAAUUAAUAUUCUGAACAUGGAAUUGAUGAAACUACCAUACUUUUACUGAACGGUGAACACCUAAAGGAAAUAGUUCCCAAACAUCUGUUUGGGGAGCGUGUUCGAUUUGAGCACGAAGUUAACCGCUUUAAUGAAUGGAAAAAUGGACUUUCUGAAAAUAGACCUAUUGGGUAUAACCAAAUUGGCGAAAAGGGGAAUAAUGCUAGUAGCCAAGUCGGAGUACAGGCAAGAAAAAAAACAAUUCGAAUUUUAA